UACGAAGGGGGCUAGCGUUGCUCGGAAUCACUGGGCGUAAAGCGCACGUAGGCGGAUUGCUAAGUCAGGGGUGAAAUCCUGGAGCUCAACUCCAGAACUGCCUUUGAUACUGAAGAUCUUGAGUUCGGGGAGAGGUGAGUGGAACUGCGAGUGUAGAGGUGAAAUUCGUAGAUAUUCGCAAGAACACCAGUGGCGAAGGCGGCUCACUGGCCCGAUACUGACGCUGAGGCACGAAAGCGUGGGGAGCAAACAGG
This 254-nucleotide ribosomal RNA is filed under the name uncultured bacterium. RNAcentral describes it as "partial 16S ribosomal RNA". It matches the Rfam family "Bacterial small subunit ribosomal RNA", at positions 524 to 776 of the family's 1533-position model. The record is from RNAcentral.